This 475-nucleotide ribosomal RNA is filed under the name uncultured bacterium. Its description in RNAcentral is "bacterial SSU rRNA". It matches the Rfam family "Bacterial small subunit ribosomal RNA", at positions 917 to 1382 of the family's 1533-position model. The record is from RNAcentral.
GGACCCGCACAAGCGGUGGAACAUGUGGUUUAAUUCGAAGCAACGCGAAAAACCUUACCAGGGCUUGACAUCUAACAAACUUCUGUGAAAGCAGAAGGUGCUCUUCGGAGAAUGUUAAGACAGGUGGUGCACGGUUGUCGUCAGCUCGUGUCGUGAGAUGUUGGGUUAAGUCCCGCAACGAGCGCAACCCUCGUCGUUAGUUGCAUACAGUGGUUUACUGCUGUAGUGCUCUCUAGCGAGACUGCCGGUGAUAAACCGGAGGAAGGUGAGGAUGACGUCAAAUCAUCAUGCCCCUUAUGCUCUGGGCUACACACGUGUUACAAUGGCUGGUACAACGAGUCGCCAACUCGCGAGAGUGAGCAAAUCUCUUAAAACCAGUCUCAGUUCGGAUUGGAGUCUGUAACUCGACUCCAUGAAGUCGGAAUCGCUAGUAAACGCAGAUCAGCACGCUGCGUUGAAUACGUUCCCGGGUCUU